Molecule: ribosomal RNA, 253 nt
Filed under: uncultured bacterium
Lineage: Bacteria
Description: partial 16S ribosomal RNA
Rfam family: Bacterial small subunit ribosomal RNA
Source: RNAcentral
UACAGAGGGGGCAAGCGUUGUUCGGAAUUACUGGGCGUAAAGGGCGCGUAGGCGGCCUUCUAAGUCGAACGUGAAAUCCCCGGGCUCAACCCGGGAACUGCGUCCGAUACUGGAAGGCUUGAAUCCGGGAGAGGGAUGCGGAAUUCCAGGUGUAGCGGUGAAAUGCGUAGAGAUCGGGAAGAACAUCAGUGGCGAAGGCGGUCUGCUGGGCCGUUGCUGACGCUGAGGCGCGACAGCGUGGGGAGCAAACAGG